UGGUAGAGCAUCGCAUUCGUAAUGCGGGGGUCGCGUGUUCGAGUCACGCAGGCGGCACCA
RNAcentral lists this transfer RNA (60 nucleotides) under Rhodospirillaceae bacterium. Its description in RNAcentral is "tRNA-Ser". It matches the Rfam family "tRNA", at positions 16 to 71 of the family's 71-position model. Rfam says of the family: Transfer RNA (tRNA) molecules are approximately 80 nucleotides in length. Their secondary structure includes four short double-helical elements and three loops (D, anti-codon, and T loops). Further hydrogen bonds mediate the characteristic L-shaped molecular structure. tRNAs have two regions of fundamental functional importance: the anti-codon, which is responsible for specific mRNA codon recognition, and the 3' end, to which the tRNAs corresponding amino acid is attached (by aminoacyl-tRNA synthetases). tRNAs cope with the degeneracy of the genetic code in two manners: having more than one tRNA (with a specific anti-codon) for a particular amino acid; and 'wobble' base-pairing, i.e. permitting non-standard base-pairing at the 3rd anti-codon position. The record is from RNAcentral. Lineage: Bacteria; Pseudomonadati; Pseudomonadota; Alphaproteobacteria; Rhodospirillales; Rhodospirillaceae.